RNAcentral lists this transfer RNA (73 nucleotides) under Toxocara canis (dog roundworm). It matches the Rfam family "tRNA". From Rfam's summary of the family: Transfer RNA (tRNA) molecules are approximately 80 nucleotides in length. Lineage: Eukaryota; Metazoa; Nematoda; Chromadorea; Rhabditida; Toxocaridae. The record is from Rfam by way of RNAcentral.
GCCUUCGUAGCUCAGUCGGUGGUUCAUCAGACUUUUAAUCUGAGGGUCGUGGGUUGGAGUCCUACAAAAGGCG